AUGGUCGGGCGAGCGGCGGCGCCAAAGCGGAGGGCCGGCAAUGGGCGGACGAAGAUCGCCAUCCGGCGGAUCGAGAAGAAGGGCGCCCGACAGGUAUGCUUCGCCAAGCGCCGGCAGGGCCUGUUUAACAAGGCCAACGAGCUGGCGGUGAUGUGCGGCGCCCAGGUGGCCGCCAUCACCUUCUCGGACGGCGGAAAGGCCUUCUCCUUUGGGCACCCCUCCGCCGAGGCCGUCGUCGACCGCUUCCUGGCGGGGGGAGGCGCGUUGGUCCAGGGCGCCGCCGCCGACGACGACGAGCUGAAGAAGCUGCACCAGCUGCACGGCGAGCUGCGCACGCGGUUGAAGGAGGUGAAGGCGCGGAAAGGGCGCGUGGUGGAGGCCAUGGCAAAGGAGCGCGCCGCGGGGGAUCAAUUUGCGGUGUGGCUCGACCCCGAGUUGGGCGACAUUGGGGAGGAGGAGCUGAUGGCCUUCGCCGCCGAGCUGAUGGUGGCGCGGGCCGCCGUCUCGGACCGCGCAUACCAGGUGCUCUUGGAGGCGCAGAACGUCAGCCGCAUGCUGCAGGCGCCCCCGCCGCCACAGCAGCAGCUCUUCGGUUGUAGCACCUUUGAGUUUGGUGGCAGCAGCAGUGGCAACGCCGGGAUGGGGAUGCAACAGAUGCAGAUGGUGAUGCCUUCGACGCAGGGGUUCGCCGUCGGGAUGCAUAUGCACCAGAUGUCAAUGGCAAUGCCUCCGCCGCCGGGCUUGGCCUACGGGGUGGAUUUGCAGCAGAUGCAUAUGUCGGUUCCUCCAUCGCCCGUUUUUGGCGCCGGGACGGAGAUGCAGCGGAUGAUUAUGGCGAUGCAGCCGCAACCAGUGUUCGCCGCCGACACGGAGAUGCAGCAGGCGGCUAUGGCGAUGCCGCCGCCGCCGGAGUUUCCUGUUGGGAUGGCGAUGCCUCCGCCGCCGGGGGUCGCCGCCGGGAUGAAGAUGGUGCAGCAGGGCCCGGGAUGA
RNAcentral lists this ribosomal RNA (990 nucleotides) under Triticum aestivum (bread wheat). RNAcentral describes it as "partial small subunit ribosomal RNA". Lineage: Eukaryota; Viridiplantae; Streptophyta; Magnoliopsida; Poales; Poaceae. The record is from RNAcentral.